UGGGGAAUUUUGCACAAUGGCGGAAACUCUGAUGCAGCGACGCCGCGUGAGUGAUGAAGAUCUUCGGAUUGUAAAACUCUGUCCUUAGUGAAGAUAAUGACAGUAACUAAGAAGCAAGCCCUGGCUAAAUACGUGCCAGCAGCCGCGGUAAUACGUAUGGGGCAAGCGUUGUCCGGAAUUAUUGGGCGUAAAGGGUACGUAGGCGGUUUAAUAAGUCCUAAUUAAAAGGCUAUGGCUCAACCAUAGUAUGGUUAGGAAACUGUUUAACUUGAGUAGAUGAGGGGAAAGUGGAAUUCCAUGUGUAGCGGUGAAAUGCGUAGAUAUAUGGAGGAACACCAAUGGCGAAGGCAACUUUCUGGAAUCAAACUGACGCUGAGGUACGAAGGCGUGGGGAGCAAACAGG
This 403-nucleotide ribosomal RNA is filed under the name Fusobacteriota bacterium. RNAcentral's name for it is "Fusobacteria bacterium partial 16S ribosomal RNA". It matches the Rfam family "Bacterial small subunit ribosomal RNA", at positions 355 to 776 of the family's 1533-position model. Lineage: Bacteria; Fusobacteriati; Fusobacteriota. The record is from RNAcentral.